AGCCAGACUCCUACGGGAGGCAGCAGUGGGGAAUAUUGCACAAUGGGGGAAACCCUGAUGCAGCGACGCCGCGUGAGUGAAGAAGUAUUUCGGUAUGUAAAGCUCUAUCAGCAGGGAAGAAAAUGACGGUACCUGACUAAGAAGCCCCGGCUAACUACGUGCCAGCAGCCGCGGUAAUACGUAGGGGGCAAGCGUUAUCCGGAUUUACUGGGUGUAAAGGGAGCGUAGACGGCAUGGCAAGUCAGAUGUGAAAGCCCGGGGCUCAACCCCGGGACUGCAUUUGAAACUGUCAGGCUGGAGUGCAGGAGAGGUAAGUGGAAUUCCUAGUGUAGCGGUGAAAUGCGUAGAUAUUAGGAGGAACACCAGUGGCGAAGGCGGCUUACUGGACUGUAACUGACGUUGAGGCUCGAAAGCGUGGGGAGCAAACAGGAUUAGAUACCCGCGUA
Molecule: ribosomal RNA, 446 nt
Filed under: uncultured bacterium
Lineage: Bacteria
Description: bacterial SSU rRNA
Rfam family: Bacterial small subunit ribosomal RNA
Source: RNAcentral